AGCAGCCGCGGUAAUUCCAGCUCCAAUAGCGUAUAUUAAAGUUGUUGCAGUUAAAAAGCUCGUAGUUGAAUUUCGGGGUUAGUAGGUUGGUCAUGCCUCUGGUAUGUACUGGUCUCACUGAUUCCUCCUUCCUGAUGAACCUUAAUGCCAUUUAUUUGGUGUUUUGGGGAAUUUGGACUGUUACUUUGAAAAAUUAGAGUGUUUAAAGCAAGCUAACGCUUGAAUACAUUAGCAUGGAAUAAUGAAAUAGGACGUUCGAUCCUAUUUUGUUGGUCUCUAGGAUUGACGUAAUGAUUAAUAGGGAUAGUUGGGGGCAUUAGUAUUCAAUUGUCAGAGGUGAAAUUCUUGGAUUUAUUGAAGACUAACUACUGCGAAAGCAUUUGCCAAGGAUGUUUUCAUUAAUCAAGAACGAAAGUUAGGGGAUCGAAGACGAUCAGAUACCGUCGUAGUCUUAACCAUAAACUAUGCCGACUAGGGAUCGGAUGAUGUUAAUUUUUAAUGUACUCA
This 507-nucleotide ribosomal RNA is filed under the name uncultured Glomeraceae. RNAcentral describes it as "SSU rRNA". It matches the Rfam family "Eukaryotic small subunit ribosomal RNA", at positions 569 to 1078 of the family's 1831-position model. Lineage: Eukaryota; Fungi; Glomeromycota; Glomeromycetes; Glomerales; Glomeraceae. The record is from RNAcentral.